RNAcentral lists this ribosomal RNA (321 nucleotides) under Bacillus sp. A0014. RNAcentral describes it as "bacterial SSU rRNA". It matches the Rfam family "Bacterial small subunit ribosomal RNA", at positions 28 to 339 of the family's 1533-position model. The record is from RNAcentral. Lineage: Bacteria; Bacillati; Bacillota; Bacilli; Caryophanales; Bacillaceae.
GACGAACGCUGGCGGCGUGCCUAAUACAUGCAAGUCGAGCGGACAGAUGGGAGCUUGCUCCCUGAUGUUAGCGGCGGACGGGUGAGUAACACGUGGGUAACCUGCCUGUAAGACUGGGAUAACUCCGGGAAACCGGAGCUAAUACCGGAUAGUUCCUUGAACCGCAUGGUUCAAGGAUGAAAGACGGUUUCGGCUGUCACUUACAGAUGGACCCGCGGCGCAUUAGCUAGUUGGUGGGGUAAUGGCUCACCAAGGCGACGAUGCGUAGCCGACCUGAGAGGGUGAUCGGCCACACUGGGACUGAGACACGGCCCAGACUCC